This 497-nucleotide ribosomal RNA is filed under the name uncultured bacterium. Its description in RNAcentral is "partial 16S ribosomal RNA". It matches the Rfam family "Bacterial small subunit ribosomal RNA", at positions 28 to 507 of the family's 1533-position model. The record is from RNAcentral.
GAUGAACGCUGGCGGCGUGCCUAAUACAUGCAAGUCGAGCGAACAGACGAGGAGCUUGCUCCUCUGACGUUAGCGGCGGACGGGUGAGUAACACGGGGAUAACCUACCUAUAAGACUGGGAUAACUUCGGGAAACCGGAGCUAAUACCGGAUAAUAUAUUGAACCGCAUGGUUCAAUAGUGAAAAACGGUUUUGCUUUCACUUAUAGAUGGAUCCGCGCCGCAUUAGCUAGUUGGUAAGGUAACGGCUUACCAAGGCAACGAUGCGUAGCCGACCUGAGAGGGUGAUCGGCCACACUGGAACUGAGACACGGUCCAGACUCCUACGGGAGGCAGCAGUAGGGAAUCUUCCGCAAUGGGCGAAAGCCUGACGGAGCAACGCCGCGUGAGUGAUGAAGGUCUUCGGAUCGUAAAACUCUGUUAUUAGGGAAGAACAAAUGUGUAAGUAACUAUGCACGUCUUGACGGUACCUAAUCAGAAAGCCACGGCUAACUACGUG